Molecule: ribosomal RNA, 532 nt
Filed under: uncultured bacterium
Lineage: Bacteria
Description: bacterial SSU rRNA
Rfam family: Bacterial small subunit ribosomal RNA
Source: RNAcentral
GGCGGCGUGCCUAACACAUGCAAGUCGUACGAGAACUCUUUAAGCUUGCUUAGAGAUAGUAAAGUGGCGCACGGGUGAGUAACGCGUGGGCAAUCUGCCUCCAAGAUCGGGAUAACUCGCCGAAAGGCGUGCUAAUACCGGAUAACAUUUUAGGAACGCAUGUUCCAAAAAUCAAAGAUGGCCUCUACAUGUAAGCUGUUGCUUGGAGAGGAGCCCGCGUACCAUUAGCUUGUUGGUAGGGUAACGGCCUACCAAGGCUGCGAUGGUUAGCUGGUCUGAGAGGAUGACCAGUCACAUUGGAACUGAAACACGGUCCAGACUCCUACGGGAGGCAGCAGUGAGGAAUUUUGCGCAAUGGGGGAAACCCUGACGCAGCAACGCCGCGUGAGUGAAGAAGGCCUUUGGGUUGUAAAGCUCUGUCAAGUGGGAAGAAACUAUUCGAUGCAAAUACCAUCGGGUACUGACGGUACCGCUAAAGGAAGCACCGGCUAACUCCGUGCCAGCAGCCGCGGUAAUACGGAGGGUGCAAGCG